AAAGUUUAAACGGACGACAUACUUUGAAUUAAAUUAUCUCAACAGGCCUCCUUACUUGUGGGACUUUUCUGCUAUGAUAUUAUGUUGAAUUGUGUGAUCAUUUCGUUUAAAUGCUUUAAAAAAAGCAGUCUGAUGCACUAAGCUCUCGUUAUGUGCGGAGUUCGGGAAGGGCCGCACCACAAUGUCUAUUGUACGCAUUCUUACCCUGGAUUUCUGCCGGAAACAUUUUUCAUAUCUUGAACUUAUGACCUCCUGAUCACAUGGCAGCACCAAGAAAAAGUUCACGUAGAGAAAAGAGAUUAAACUAGUCAUUGCACUAGUAGCGUCUACGAGCCCCCCGCUUCGGCCCCAUCUUUUCUUUUGCCAGUUACGCCGAGACUCCCACUCGUUUAGAUGCUUAAUAUAUAUAUAUAUAUAUUUUUAAAAGUAGCUCGGUUCACUAUGAACUACAAGGAUUUACAUUACGUAACCUUAUCUCUCAUUUGCAUAUAAAAAGUUAAAUUUUUAGCUCGGUUCACUAUGAACUACAAGGAUUUACAUUACGUAACCUUAUCUCUCAUUUGCAUGAGGAUGUUUUCACAGCUCGAACUCAUGACCCCUAACCACGUGGCAAUAACUUUAUCACUUAUGCUAAGCCAUUCGAAGAAGCAUAAUUUAAUAAUAUUAUGUGUUUCCAUAGGUACAAAGAAUGCCUCAAGAACCAUGCAGCAGCAAUGGGUGGAAAUGCAACAGAUGGAUGUGGUGAGUUUAUGCCAAGUGGUGAAGAAGGUACAAUAGAAGCACUCAUUUGUUCAGCUUGCAAUUGUCAUAGAAAUUUCCACAGAAAAGAAAUAGAAGGUGAGCAGCAACUUCUUCAACUACAGCCACCACCUUCCUCUUGUGAUUACUAUAGUCUCAACAGGGGAGGAAAAAAAGUUUAUUUAGGACACACACACAACACCACCACCUUCCUCUUGUGAUUACUAUAAUCUCAACAGGGGUGGACAAAAAGUUUAUUUAGGACACUCACACAACAAUCACAAAAGCCUUUUGGGACCUGAACAAUAUGGAACUAUAAUCCCUUCCAGAGCAACAGCACCACAUCAU
RNAcentral lists this long non-coding RNA (1086 nucleotides) under Nicotiana benthamiana. Its description in RNAcentral is "long non-coding RNA (NBEN_LNC026748)". Lineage: Eukaryota; Viridiplantae; Streptophyta; Magnoliopsida; Solanales; Solanaceae. The record is from RNAcentral.